UUGAGAAGAUUUUUAAAGAUGCCACUAAAUUUUCAUGAACUCUUCAUUAUCUCUCCUUGAAAGAAGGCAUGGCACUUCCUGUGAACAAACUUAAAUCCCCUUCACCCAAGGAUGCUUUGUCACAUUUGCAGGUUAAAAAAAUUGGAGUACAUUGUUAUGAUGACCAGACUCGAAGGCAUUCAUGUAAUUGGGUGAAUCACAGAGUCUCAGGAAUCUUCUGGACUAACCAAAAGUGAUGGCUGAAACAAAUAUUAACUGGUAGUCUAC
Molecule: long non-coding RNA, 267 nt
Organism: Saccostrea echinata
Lineage: Eukaryota; Metazoa; Mollusca; Bivalvia; Ostreida; Ostreidae
Exons: 3
Source: RefSeq, a predicted model, not a curated record